GGGUUGUGAGGUUAAGCGACUAAGCGUACACGGUGGAUGCCCUGGCAGUCAGAGGCGAUGAAGGGCGUGCUAAUCUGCGAUAAGCGCCGGUAAGGUGAUAUGAACC
Molecule: ribosomal RNA, 106 nt
Filed under: Salmonella enterica
Lineage: Bacteria; Pseudomonadati; Pseudomonadota; Gammaproteobacteria; Enterobacterales; Enterobacteriaceae
Also listed under: 2 other names
Description: partial 23S ribosomal RNA
Rfam family: Bacterial large subunit ribosomal RNA
Source: RNAcentral